This 2300-nucleotide long non-coding RNA is filed under the name Macaca mulatta (Rhesus monkey). RNAcentral describes it as "lncRNA (ENSMMUG00000037908.2)". Lineage: Eukaryota; Metazoa; Chordata; Mammalia; Primates; Cercopithecidae. The record is from RNAcentral.
ACAGAGCACAGGUGAAGAGAGGAUGGGUUAUGCAGGCGCCGGCCACACAGCUGUUCCCAGGGACCCUUUAGGAGCGCUUGUACCGGCCACAGGAAACAGCAAAGGAACGGCAGCUGAAUCAGGAAAAGGGGAUUUCUAAACGGGAGUCACGUUCCUAAUGGGCUGUUCCUGCGGCUCUAGCUCAGAGGUUGUUUCUUCAGGUGUGAUCCUGAGAUCAGCAGCAGCCACCUCACUGGACACUCAUCAAGAAAGACAAACCGUCUGCCAGCCCGCCCCUGACCUGUGGAACCAGAAACUCUGGGCUUGGGUGGAGCUCACAGCCCUUGCUUAGCUUCGACCUCCUCCUCCAAACUGGGCAUAACAUCAUCCACCUGGCAGGGCCUUUGGGAGGAUGACAUGAUAUAAUACUGCUGAAAUGUGAAAGCAAAAGACUGCUUCUCUUUAGUGAAGCUCUAUUCACUGUCGAGGCUUCAGUGUACGGGGGCGCAUCCCACGGGCAUUGUCUCCAGCUGCCCGGGUGGGUUUCAUUCCAGUACUACACUCUGCUUCAGACUUACCGAGAGCCAUUCUCCAUAGCAGGACUUUCCUAUCCUCUAUUUGGGAGAUUCCUUGGUCAAUGUCUGUGUCACUGAGUCUCACUGAUUAGACAAUAGGCCCCACGAUGGGAGACACCUGGCUUUUUUUAUUCCAUUGGAUACUUAAUGACUAUAGCACAGUAUAUAAUCAGUAAAUAGUUCUUGAAUUAAUGCAUGAGAAGUCCCUGAAAAUAGUCCCUGAACUUUUUAAAUAAUCAUGCAAACAAGAUCCAAAGAAAUGUCACAAAUAUCUCUUAACUCCUUAAAAACAAUUCCAGACACCUAGAAUGGGCAAAGCAGUGUGCUAAGUCACCUUUCUUUUGAGAUUGGUCACCAAUAAAUCGUGAAGUGCCUUCCACCUCCCGCCAUGAUUCUGAGGCCUCCCUAGCCAUGCGGAACUAGCAAACUGAAAUUUAGCAGCAUUUUGAAGGCAGCCGUGGACCAGCACUGUCUGCCCCACUGUUCUUCAGCAGACACAGGCAUUAAUCCAGACCCUGAGAUUGCCAUCCUGUGAGAACACACAAAGGAAGACAUUCAGUGAAGAUGCACCCUCUUCCAGAGGUGCCCCAAAAGGGCAGACCAUGGCAGCCUCAUCUUUCUGGUUUUGAACUAGGUCCCUCUACUUGAGGGAAGUGCAAUGGAAUAGAGACAGCACCUCCCUGGGCAGCAGGGAAGCUGGCUCUAAGCCCCACGCUGGUGCCAAGACCAGCUGCCUACCUGAUGCCCCUAAUCUUCGGUUCCCUCCUCCGUGAAUUGCCGGCAUUAACUCUCCUGAAUGCUGCACCACAGGCUGCAGCUAAGCACUCUAUGCACCAAGCAAAGUUCAUGUGAACACACACAAUAUGAUGUCUGUUUACGAGACAGGAAGAGAUGCUUCGCCAGAGUGUGACCUUGCUGACACCAUGAUCUUGGACUUCCAGUCUCCAGAACUCUUCCCUUGGCUUGUGAUGCACAACUCAAAUCUCAGCUUCUAUCCCCACGUAGCUGUCUUCACAUAGUCUUCACUCUGUGGACACCUGCCUUCACGUUUUCUCCUUCUUAUAAAGACACUUGUUCUGUUGGAUUCGGGGCCCAUCUCACUCCAGGAUGACUCCAUGUUAACUUAACUAAUUACAUCUGUAACAUGAUGUAGUUUCCAAAUAAGGUUGCAUUUUAAGUUUCUGGGGUUAAGACUUCCACAUAUAUUUUUGGACGACACGAUUCAGCCCAUAACACUGGUUUUACCCUUGCAUGGACAGGGUGAUUUAUACUUUCUUGCAGUGUCUGUGUAACUUGAAGCCUUAAUUCAUUAAGAUUAGUGUGAUUUUAUUUUGUUACUCUUUUUUCAUCCACUCAUUUUCCUUUGUCACUUGAAAAAAAUAUAUAUAUUUUAAAGUUGAGACCGCAGCCAAAGCUGUAGGCAGAGCCUGAUUCUGAUGGCCCUCUGGCCCUUCAGAUGGGCAGUUUCUCAGUGGCAAUGACAAGAAACCCAGGCAGCCGCACACACACACAUGCCACAUGGCUUUGCAAUGAGUGGCAGAGGCAGGAAUAUCUUCAAAGCAUAUGGAAAGCAGGGAGAUGAGGAGGUGCGCUGGAGCCAGGACAGUGACGAGCUUCGCAGGGCUCUGGCGUGCAGGGGAGGGGACAAAAAUAACCAGCAAAUCCCUUCUCUGCGGAGAACCACCAGUGAAGAGGAUCGACAGACAAGUGACGGGAGGAAACAGGACGUGGAUCUGGGCUUGCAAA